RNAcentral lists this transfer RNA (85 nucleotides) under Felis catus (domestic cat). It matches the Rfam family "tRNA". From Rfam's summary of the family: Transfer RNA (tRNA) molecules are approximately 80 nucleotides in length. Their secondary structure includes four short double-helical elements and three loops (D, anti-codon, and T loops). Further hydrogen bonds mediate the characteristic L-shaped molecular structure. tRNAs have two regions of fundamental functional importance: the anti-codon, which is responsible for specific mRNA codon recognition, and the 3' end, to which the tRNAs corresponding amino acid is attached (by aminoacyl-tRNA synthetases). tRNAs cope with the degeneracy of the genetic code in two manners: having more than one tRNA (with a specific anti-codon) for a particular amino acid; and 'wobble' base-pairing, i.e. permitting non-standard base-pairing at the 3rd anti-codon position. Lineage: Eukaryota; Metazoa; Chordata; Mammalia; Carnivora; Felidae. The record is from Rfam by way of RNAcentral.
GCCUGGGUGGCUCAGUCGGUUGAGCGUCUGACUUCAGCUCAGGUCAUGAUCUCGCAGUUUGUGAGUUCGAGCCCCGCAUCGGGCU